UACGUAGGGGGCAAGCGUUGUCCGGAUUUAUUGGGCGUAAAGCGCGCGUAGGCGGCUCGGAAAGUCGGGCGUGAAAUGCCGGGGCUCAACCCCGGGACUGCGUCCGAUACUUCCGAGCUGGAGGUAGGUAGGGGCAACUGGAAUUCUUGGUGUAGCGGUGAAAUGCGUAGAUAUCAAGAGGAACACCUGCGGCGAAGGCGGGUUGCUGGGCCGACACUGACGCUGAGGCGCGAAAGCUAGGGGAGCGAACGGG
RNAcentral lists this ribosomal RNA (253 nucleotides) under uncultured bacterium. Its description in RNAcentral is "partial 16S ribosomal RNA". It matches the Rfam family "Bacterial small subunit ribosomal RNA", at positions 524 to 776 of the family's 1533-position model. The record is from RNAcentral.